RNAcentral lists this ribosomal RNA (484 nucleotides) under uncultured bacterium. Its description in RNAcentral is "bacterial SSU rRNA". It matches the Rfam family "Bacterial small subunit ribosomal RNA", at positions 17 to 518 of the family's 1533-position model. The record is from RNAcentral.
ACAUGGCUCAGGACGAACGCUGGCGGCGUGCCUAACACAUGCAAGUCGAGCGAAGAUUAUAGCAAUGUAAUCUUAGCGGCGGACGGGUGAGUAACGCGUGGGCAACCUACCUCAAACUGGGGGAUAACACAGGGAAACUUGUGCUAAUACCGCAUAACAUCAUGAAAUGACAUUAUUUUAUGAUCAAAGGAGCAAUCCGGUAAGAGAUGGGCCCGCGUCCAAUUAGCUAGUUGGUGGUGUAACGGACCACCAAGGCGACGAUUGGUAGCCGAACUGUGAGGUUGAUCGGCCACAUUGGGACUGAGACACGGCCCAGACUCCUACGGGAGGCAGCAGUGGGGAAUAUUGCGCAAUGGGGAAACCCUGACGCAGCAACGCCGCGUGAAGGAUGAAGGUUUUCGGAUCGUAAACUUCUUUGAUGAGGGACGAAACAAAUGACGGUACCUCAAAAACAAGCCACGGCUAACUACGUGCCAGCAGCUGC